CCUACGGGAGGCAGCAGUCGAGAAUCAUUCACAAUGGGCGAAACCCUGAUGGUGCGACGCCGCGUGGGGGAAUGAAGGUCUUCGGAUUGUAAACCCCUGUCAUGUGGGAGCAAAUGAAAAAGAUAGUACCACAAGAAGAAGAGACGGCGAACUCUGUGCAAGCAACCGCGGUAAUACAGAGGUUUCAAGCGUUGUGCGGAAUCACUGGGCGUAAGGCGUGCGUAGGCUGUUUCGUAAGUCGUGUGUGAAAGGCGCGGGCUCAAAUCGCGAACUGCACAUGAUACUGCGAGGCUAGAGUAAUGGUGGGGGAACCGGAAUGCACGGUGUAGCAGUGAAAUGCGUAGAGAUCG
Molecule: ribosomal RNA, 350 nt
Filed under: uncultured bacterium
Lineage: Bacteria
Description: partial 16S ribosomal RNA
Rfam family: Bacterial small subunit ribosomal RNA
Source: RNAcentral